CCCGCAACGAGCGCAACCCUCAUCGCUAGUUACAUGUGUCUAGCGAGACUGCCAGGUUAACCCUGGAGGAAGGUGGGGAUGACGUCAAGUCAGCAUGGCCUUUAUGCCCAGGGCUACACACACGCUACAAUGGUCGGUGCAAUGGGAUGCCAAGCCGUGAGGCGGAGCAAAUCCUCAAAGCCGGCCUCAGUUCGAAUUGGAGGCUGCAACUCGCCUCCAUGAAGUCGGAGUUGCUAGUAACCGCAGGUCAGCUAUACUGCGGUGAAUACGUUCCCGGGGCUU
RNAcentral lists this ribosomal RNA (282 nucleotides) under uncultured Caldilineaceae bacterium. RNAcentral's name for it is "partial 16S ribosomal RNA". It matches the Rfam family "Bacterial small subunit ribosomal RNA", at positions 1086 to 1382 of the family's 1533-position model. Lineage: Bacteria; Bacillati; Chloroflexota; Caldilineae; Caldilineales; Caldilineaceae. The record is from RNAcentral.